GAUGAAGAACGUAGUGAAAUGCGAUACGUAAUGUGAAUUGCAGAAUUCAGUGAAUCAUCGAGUCUUUGAACGCACAUUGCGCCCCCUGGUAUUCCGGGGGGCAUGCCUGUCCGAGCGUCAUUGCUGCCCUCAAGCACGGCUUGUGUGUUGGGCCCCCGCCCCCCGGUUCCCGGGGGGCGGGCCCGAAAGGCAGCGGCGGCACCGCGUCCGGUCCUCGAGCGUAUGGGGCUUCGUCACCCGCUCCGUAGGCCCGGCCGGCGCCCGCCGGCGACCCCCCCCUCAAUCUUUCCAGGUUGACCUCGGAUCAGGUAGGGAUACCCGCUGAACUUAAGCAUAUCAAUAAGCGGAGGA
This 351-nucleotide unclassified non-coding RNA is filed under the name soil metagenome. Its description in RNAcentral is "partial contains 5.8S ribosomal RNA, internal transcribed spacer 2, and large subunit ribosomal RNA". The stretch from base 1 to 120 matches the Rfam family "5.8S ribosomal RNA", at positions 35 to 154 of the family's 154-position model. The record is from RNAcentral.